UUUUAAUUUUGGUUAUGAUAUGAC
This 24-nucleotide non-coding RNA is filed under the name Arabidopsis thaliana (thale cress). Lineage: Eukaryota; Viridiplantae; Streptophyta; Magnoliopsida; Brassicales; Brassicaceae. The record is from RNAcentral.